RNAcentral lists this ribosomal RNA (791 nucleotides) under uncultured bacterium. Its description in RNAcentral is "bacterial SSU rRNA". It matches the Rfam family "Bacterial small subunit ribosomal RNA", at positions 8 to 796 of the family's 1533-position model. The record is from RNAcentral.
AGAGUUUGAUCCUGGCUCAGAGUGAACGCUGGCGGCAUGCCUAACACAUGCAAGUCGAACGGUAACAGGCCCGCAAGGGUGCUGACGAGUGGCGGACGGGUGAGGAAUACAUCGGAAUUUGCCCAGUCGUGGGGGAUAACGUAGGGAAACUUACGCUAAUACCGCAUACGACCUAACGGUGAAAGCGGGGGAUCGCAAGACCUCGCGCGGAUGGAUAAGCCGAUGUCGGAUUAGCUAGUUGGCGGGGUAAAGGCCCACCAAGGCGACGAUCCGUAGCUGGUCUGAGAGGAUGAUCAGCCACACUGGGACUGAGACACGGCCCAGACUCCUACGGGAGGCAGCAGUGGGGAAUAUUGGACAAUGGGGGCAACCCUGAUCCAGCAAUGCCGCGUGUGUGAAGAAGGCCUUCGGGUUGUAAAGCACUUUUAUCAGGAACGAAACACGCAGAUCUAAUACGUCUGCGGACUGACGGUACCUGAGGAAUAAGCACCGGCUAACUUCGUGCCAGCAGCCGCGGUAAUACGAAGGGUGCAAGCGUUACUCGGAAUUACUGGGCGUAAAGGGUGCGUAGGUGGUCGUUUAAGUCCGUUGUGAAAUCCCUGGGCUCAACCUGGGAAUGGCAGUGGAUACUGGACGGCUAGAAUGCGGUAGAGGGUAGUGGAAUUCCCGGUAGCAGUGAAAUGCGUAGAGAUCGGGAGGAACACCAGUGGCGAAGGCGGCUACCUGGACCAGCAUUGACACUCAAGCACGAAAGCGUGGGGAGCAAACAGGAUUAGAUACCCCAGUAGUCC